GGGGGGAGCACAGGAUCCUGGGCUGUGUCCCCCAGCGCCCUGGGCUCCGGGACCUGUGCUGCCAGAAUCUCACUCGCGGGCUGUGCAGCCCCCG
RNAcentral lists this microRNA precursor (94 nucleotides) under Canis lupus familiaris (dog). Its description in RNAcentral is "mir-8799 microRNA precursor family". It matches the Rfam family "mir-8799 microRNA precursor family". Lineage: Eukaryota; Metazoa; Chordata; Mammalia; Carnivora; Canidae. The record is from Rfam by way of RNAcentral. RNAcentral also lists the same sequence under 1 other name.